AAAGUAGAAGUUUUUAUAAUAUUUGACCUGCAAUCAAGAGAAGGUAACUUUGUUACCCUACUUUG
This 65-nucleotide transfer RNA is filed under the name Semibalanus balanoides (northern acorn barnacle). RNAcentral describes it as "tRNA-Ala". Lineage: Eukaryota; Metazoa; Arthropoda; Thecostraca; Balanomorpha; Balanidae. The record is from RNAcentral.